CCUGAGUUGGGUCGAUGAUGAGAACCUUAUAUUAUCCUGAAGAGAGGUGAUGACUUAAAAAUCAUGCUCAAUAGGAUUACGCUGAGGCCCAGUCUAGGUGAGAGUUUUGGAAGAGGAUGCUGGGAUCCUGAGGUCCCCUGGUAGAGCCAAUUGUAUUUUGGGCUGGAGACCUGGAAGCCCUGAAGGGCAUCUGGGAGGCCCAACCCUGUCUCUGUGCUCCUCCAUGAGGCAGCCCUGGCUCCCCAUGUAGGCUUGGUGAUGGCCUUCCUGUUCCCUGGGGGUGGGGCACAUGGGUAGCUCCUCCCUGACCCCCAUUCUCUCCUGUGUCUUUCAGUGAGCUCUUCCCCACAGGUGGGCCCCCUGGCAUUGACUAGCAUCGUGAGCUCUUCUGCCCAGCAGCCUCCCUGGCAGUGACCAGCAUAGAUGCUGACCCUGGAGGAAGAAUUGCACUGGGCCCACUGGCCCCGGGAAAAUGUCCCUCAGCCAGGUGCUUAGCCCCUGGUAAUCUGAAGCUCAGGCCCUUCCUGAUGCCCUGGUCUCCUGC
Molecule: long non-coding RNA, 544 nt
Filed under: Homo sapiens (human)
Lineage: Eukaryota; Metazoa; Chordata; Mammalia; Primates; Hominidae
Description: non-protein coding lnc-SNRPN-8:160
Rfam family: Small nucleolar RNA SNORD115 (bases 9-90)
Source: RNAcentral